Molecule: ribosomal RNA, 247 nt
Filed under: uncultured bacterium
Lineage: Bacteria
Description: partial 16S ribosomal RNA
Rfam family: Bacterial small subunit ribosomal RNA
Source: RNAcentral
UACAGAGGGUGCGAGCGUUAAUCGGAAUUACUGGGCGUAAAGCGUGCGUAGACGGUUUCGUAAGUCGGGUGUGAAAGCCCCGGGCUCAACCUGGGAAUUGCAUUCGAGACUGCGUAGCUAGGGUGCGGAAGAGGGAAGCGGAAUUUCCGGUGUAGCGGUGAAAUGCGUAGAUAUCGGAAGGAACAUCAGUGGCGAAAGCGGCUUCCUGGUCCAGCACCGACGUCAGGCACGAAAGCGUGGGAGCAAA